GCAAACUUGGUCAUUUAGAGGAAGUAAAAGUCGUAACAAGGUUUCCGUAGGUGAACCUGCGGAAGGAUCAUUACUGAAGAAAUGGUAGUGCUGAGCUGACUCUUAGGAGUAUGUGCUUGCUCUAUCGCUUUUUCUACUCUCCACUGUGCACCUUUUGUAGGCUAUGAUGACUCUCAAGUUCCCCCUUAAAACAGGGGAACUUGGAUAGAGGGCUAUGCGAUCUUGGUUGCUUGCUUUCAACUUUGUAGCCUACGCUCUAUAUAAACUACUAGUCUCAUGAAUGUGUAUUGUUGGUCUUUGACCGAUAAACUAUAUACAACUUUCAGCAACGGAUCUCUUGGCUCUCGCAUCGAUGAAGAACGCAGC
This 366-nucleotide unclassified non-coding RNA is filed under the name uncultured fungus. RNAcentral describes it as "partial contains small subunit ribosomal RNA, internal transcribed spacer 1, and 5.8S ribosomal RNA". The stretch from base 1 to 73 matches the Rfam family "Eukaryotic small subunit ribosomal RNA", at positions 1759 to 1831 of the family's 1831-position model. Lineage: Eukaryota; Fungi. The record is from RNAcentral.